AAAAAAUAUUAACGAAUAGGUAAAGUUUAAAAAGAAAAUUGCUCGAAAACAAAAAGGGAAAAACAAAAAAAAAGAGCUUCCUCAACUUACCACUUUUACAAAUGAAUCAACAAAUAAAAAGAAACAAAAAGUACAACAAUAACGACAUCAACUCCUCCACUUCACACAUCCUCAGUUCCCACCAUGCAAAACCAAAAUUCCCAACCCUAAUAGAAUUUGUUUUUUCCUUCUACAUUAUUUUUCUCUCAAAUUACAGCAGACACAUAUACACUCUUUCUCUCUUAUUUAACUCUCUGCUCCUCUAUUCUCUUUCAAAUCUCUUCCGGUGCGAUUGGAUCUGAGUGACUUCUUUUACCAAAUAUCCACUUGGUUCAGUUCAAUCCGGAAGAGAAAACUCCCUGAAUUUCUAAUCUUUAGCAGUUGUUAGGGUUUAUUUCUAGAAUUUUUGAGAAAUUAGGGGUGAUUAGAGAUUGUUGCAAUUAGGGUUUUAUUGUGUUUUGACUUUCGGGGACUAGUUUUUCCUUUUUUCCUCUUCUGAUUGAUUUUUAAUUCUUUGUUUGGAGUUGUUGAUUUGAAGUGGGAAUCCGUGGUGGGUUGGGUUAAAGGUGGAAUUUUGAACAGCCAAUGCCAUAUUUUUUGGAUUGGUGUUCAGCAAAUUUUUCGGUGAUUUUUUUAGUACCGAAAAAGUUAGAGCUCGAAGUUAUCAAUGUCUUGGGCAGGCCCGGAAGAUAUCUAUCUUUCUACUUCUCUUGCUAGCUAUCUUGAUAAGAAGCUACUUGUGCUACUGCGAGAUGGUCGGAAGCUCAUGGGAAUACUUCGUUCUUUUGACCAAUUUGCUAAUGCCGUUCUUGAGGGUGCAUGUGAAAGAGUUAUUGUUGGUGACCUCUAUUGCGAUAUCCCUUUAGGUCUAUACAUUAUUCGAGGCGAGAAUGUUGUUUUAAUUGGAGAGCUGGAUUUGGAGAAAGAGGAACUUCCUCCACAUAUGACUCGUGUUUCAGCAGCGGAAAUUAGACGGGAAAUUUUCCGAAAUCACGCGGUUGUAUAUUUAAUUCUGUGGAGUUUCUAGAAGAAGCCUUGUGUUUUCUGCAAUUAUUGUAUGCACUCGUUCUGUCAUGGUCAAAGUUAGUAGCUUCUUAGUUUGGUUUGGUAUCAUCUAUUUUCUCACAAUAGUCAUCGCUCAGUCACAUUCAUCAGCUCAGUAGCUUCUUAGUUUGGUUUGGUAUCAUCUAUUUUCUCACACAGUCAGUAUCACCUGUUAUGGUGCCACCACAAGCAGUGACUUGUUGGACGCCUGCAGUCUACAUGAUCCAGGACGUCUAUGGCGCAAAAAGCCGAAAGGGAUGCUACGGAUCUAAAAGGUACAAUGAGGAAGAGAAUGGAAUUCCUUGAUUUGGACUAGUGCAUCCCCUGCAACCAGGUUAUAUGGUCCGCACAUAUUUUAGCGGUCAAUUGGUGUAUGGGGUAUUAGUUGGUUCUCUUCCUUUUCUCUAAACUUGCUGUAACAUUUUUUUUCAAAGAAAUGUAUUUGAAAAAUUUAUUCAGUACUUUGUUCUGUGAAAUUUCAAUUCCAAGUUUGAAUGGGGUGUAGGUUAGUAUUUCACUGGUCCCAUUUUUCCGCUUCCAUAAUGUAUUGGAUGUUUUAAGGUGUAAUGGCUCUGUACAAUCAAGGAAAAUUAGAAUCGCACUUUUCACGCAGUA
Ricinus communis (castor bean) is the source of this 1698-nucleotide RNA transcript. It is a transcript of the gene named sm-like protein LSM1B, with no coding region annotated. The record is from RefSeq and is a predicted model, not a curated record. NCBI's taxonomy places the organism in Eukaryota, Viridiplantae, Streptophyta, Magnoliopsida, Malpighiales, Euphorbiaceae. The transcript is spliced from 6 exons.